Molecule: ribosomal RNA, 428 nt
Filed under: uncultured bacterium
Lineage: Bacteria
Description: bacterial SSU rRNA
Rfam family: Bacterial small subunit ribosomal RNA
Source: RNAcentral
GGGCCCGCACAAGCGGUGGAGUAUGUGGUUUAAUUCGAUGCAACGCGAAGAACCUUACCAGGGUUUGACAUCCUGCGAAUCUCUUGGAAACAGGAGAGUGCCUUCGGGAACGCAGUGACAGGUGGUGCAUGGCUGUCGUCAGCUCGUGUCGUGAGAUGUUCGGUUAAGUCCGGCAACGAGCGCAACCCUCGUUUCCAGUUGCCAGCGGGUAAUGCCGGGGACUCUGGAAAGACAAACCUCUUGUUGAGGUGGGAAGGUGGGGACGACGUCAAGUCAGUAUGGCCCUUACGACCAGGGCUGCACACGUGCUACAAUGCCCGGCACAAUGGGAUGCAAUAUCGCGAGAUUGAGCAAAUCCACAAAACCGGGCCCAGUUCGGAUUGGAGUCUGCAACUCGACUCCAUGAAGUUGGAAUCGCUAGUAAUGGC